UACGUAGGUGGCAAGCGUUGUCCGGAUUUACUGGGCGUAAAGAGCGCGCAGGCGGUCGUCCAAGUCGCGUGUGAAAGCCCCCGGCUCAACUGGGGAGGGUCACGCGAUACUGGUCGACUCGAAGGCAGGAGAGGGUAGUGGAAUUCCCGGUGUAGUGGUGAAAUGCGUAGAUAUCGGGAGGAACACCAGUGGCGAAGGCGGCUUUCUGGCCUGUUCUUGACGCUGAGGCGCGAAAGCUAGGGUAGCAAACGGG
This 253-nucleotide ribosomal RNA is filed under the name uncultured bacterium. RNAcentral describes it as "partial 16S ribosomal RNA". It matches the Rfam family "Bacterial small subunit ribosomal RNA", at positions 524 to 776 of the family's 1533-position model. The record is from RNAcentral.